GACGAACGCUGGCGGCGUGCCUAAUACAUGCAAGUAGAACGCUGAAGAGAGGAGCUUGCUCUUCUUGGAUGAGUUGCGAACGGGUGAGUAACGCGUAGGUAACCUGCCUUGUAGCGGGGGAUAACUAUUGGAAACGUUAGCUAAUACCGCAUAACAAUGGAUGACACAUGUCAUUUAUUUGAAAGGGGCAAUUGCUCCACUACAAGAUGGACCUGCGUUGUAUUAGCUAGUAGGUGAGGUAAUGGCUCACCUAGGCGACGAUACAUAGCCGACCUGAGAGGGUGAUCGGCCACACUGGGACUGAGACACGGCCCAGACUCCUACGGGAGGCAGCAGUAGGGAAUCUUCGGCAAUGGGGGCAACCCUGACCGAGCAACGCCGCGUGAGUGAAGAAGGUUUUCGGAUCGUAAAGCUCUGUUGUAAGUCAAGAACGGGUGUGAGAGUGGAAAGUUCACACUGUGACGGUAGCUUACCAGAAAGGGACGGCUAACUACGUG
RNAcentral lists this ribosomal RNA (497 nucleotides) under uncultured bacterium. RNAcentral's name for it is "partial 16S ribosomal RNA". It matches the Rfam family "Bacterial small subunit ribosomal RNA", at positions 28 to 507 of the family's 1533-position model. The record is from RNAcentral.